CCUUGUCAUCAUGAGCCAGCUGCAGCGUGGGGCUAGGGUGGGGUGUAGUGGUCGGGUCUGGCCCAGGUGUGGAUGUGGUUUGUGGGUGUCGCUGCGUUAUUAGCGUGUGGCUGCCCCAGCCCGGGUGACGAACUGCGUGGGUGUGAGGCGCGUAGUGUAGACGGGGCCUAAGGCACCUUUAUCCCAAUAUUACUGUGUUCAUGCUAGGGGCUGUAUUGGUAUCAGUAUCAGUAGAUCAGUAAAAAUCACCUCCCUAACCAACAUAGUCGUAUUGGUACCAAAUCUGUGUGUUGAGCAGGCCUCACUGCAUUACCCCUUACCACCUACCACACUGCAAAGUGAUGAAAACGCCAAGCCAGGUCCACACUAGGACAUUUUGUUGGCAGAGCUAUGUCGGUCAGGGGUGUGAAAAAAACACAUCCCUCCAGCCAACAUUGCUAGGCCAGUAACACCCCCAGUGUAGACGCAGCUAUGCCGACAGAAGAGAGCUUCUGUGGGCAGAGUUAACAUCAUUCGGGGAGGUGGUGGUGUUAUACCAUCACAAGAACCCCCUCUGUGGGCACAGGCUGUGUCUACACUAGGUGACUCUACCUGUAUAGGUGUACUGAUAUAGCUGUAGCAGAAGAGCAUGUGUAGUGUAAACUAGCCCACAGUCUUUAAAGCUGUCCUUUUCUGUUUCAGGUGGCUGUUUUCCAGGCCAGGCAUCCAUUUCCUCUUACAAAUCAGUAUCUUUCCUUGCUGAAGGAGUCAAAAUCAGAAUGGAGGUGCUUGGGCUUGAUUGCUGGUGGUUCCACAUGUUACUGAGCCAUGAAGCUUGUGUGGGGAGGUUCAGCCAUAGGCAGUUGGACAGCGAUCGCCUGCCAGCAGCUCUGCGAUAAGGGUGUCAUGUGAACUGAUGUGCUAAGUGGGGAAAUCAUCCACUGGGAAACCCAGCUAUAGGACCAAGGCAUUGC
This 953-nucleotide long non-coding RNA is filed under the name Chrysemys picta bellii (western painted turtle). Its description in RNAcentral is "lncRNA (ENSCPBG00000000240.1)". Lineage: Eukaryota; Metazoa; Chordata; Testudines; Emydidae. The record is from RNAcentral.